AUUGAACGCUGGCGGCAUGCUUUACACAUGCAAGUCGAACGGUAACAGGCCGCAAGGUGCUGACGAGUGGCGCACGGGUGAGUAAUGCAUCGGAACGUGCCCAGUCGUGGGGGAUAACUACUCGAAAGAGUAGCUAAUACCGCAUACGAUCUAUGGAUGAAAGCGGGGGACCGUAAGGCCUCGCGCGAUUGGAGCGGCCGAUGUCAGAUUAGGUAGUUGGUGGGGUAAAGGCUCACCAAGCCAACGAUCUGUAGCUGGUCUGAGAGGACGACCAGCCACACUGGGACUGAGACACGGCCCAGACUCCUACGGGAGGCAGCAGUGGGGAAUUUUGGACAAUGGGCGCAAGCCUGAUCCAGCAAUGCCGCGUGCAGGAAGAAGGCCUUCGGGUUGUAAACUGCUUUUGUACGGAACGAAACGGCUCUGGUUAAUACCCGGGGCUAAUGACGGUACCGUAAGAAUAAGCACCAGCUAACUACGUG
This 482-nucleotide ribosomal RNA is filed under the name uncultured bacterium. Its description in RNAcentral is "partial 16S ribosomal RNA". It matches the Rfam family "Bacterial small subunit ribosomal RNA", at positions 30 to 507 of the family's 1533-position model. The record is from RNAcentral.